This is a non-coding RNA of Pelobates cultripes (western spadefoot toad), 3335 nucleotides long. The record is from the annotation of a GenBank genome assembly. Lineage: Eukaryota; Metazoa; Chordata; Amphibia; Anura; Pelobatidae.
CUGGUUCUUCUAGAGAUGUUGGUCCUCAGGAGCAGGAACUAGCUUGUGUAUAAAAGCUGAAGAGUCAAAGACAUUUUAACAUUGUCUGGAGUCUAUCCAUUGAUUUAUUGGUGAAGUCAGUUUUGACAUCUGCUAACAAUACAACAUGUCUGGAGUCAAGGGUGGACAUGGUGGCCAACACCACCAACAACAACACUGCAAGGACCCCUGCAAGGACCCAUGCCAGAACCCCUGCAAGGACCCAUGCCAGAACCCCUGCAAGGACCCAUGCCAGGACCCCUGCAAGGACCCAUGCCUGAACCCCUGCAAGGACCCAUGCCAGAACCCCUGCAAGGACCCAUGCCAAAAGCUGGACCCAUGCAAAGACCCAUGCCAAAAGCUGGACCCAUGCAAAGAUUGUGAGUAGCAAUUUAUCUACUUGAACACCUCUGUUACACACACAUUUGCCUAGUAUAAAGAAUAAUGAAUAAUAAUAUAAUAAAUGUACACCAACAUCAAAGUAACCCCUAGAUAUAUCUAGAAACAUUUUCAUAGUCAUUUACUAAAUUUGGGUGAAAACCCAAAUGAUCCCAAAAUUUUGAAUAUAGAAAAUCUAUGAUAUGGUUAAUCUUAGCAAUACUUGUUUAUAAGUUUCAUUAUUCACAGUUUUAUGCCAGUUGUGAUCACAGUUACUCAGCAUUGAAACUAACUAAGAUGACUCCGUAAUUCACUUAGGAGGCUCCACACAGCCAGAAAAUAAGAACCAUUUCAAGAGAUUGUGUAGUAUUUGUUAAAGGAAUGGGAUUUAUUUACGUAGAUCAAAUGUCACGAUAAUUGUGUACUAACAGACUUAGUCACUAAGUUAUAAAUUUAUCUGACAUUUUAGGGUCAAGUAGGAGAAUUCUCCAUGUUAGCUAAGUUUUCAGACAGUUAUUUUCUAUGCACUUUGAAUUCUUGACAAUUUUCCCUUUAGUGAAUAACCCUGGGUUGCUUUAUAAAUUAAUCACAAGAUUUCAAAAAAGCAGAGUUUCCUUGUGGUUUGAUCAACUUAAUACCCAGCUUUGAUCGAUACACUGGACAUUUAUUCCAUGUCAAUUCAGUAACAUUUGUUUAUAAAAACCAUAAGUCGCCAACUCAAAAGAACAUAUUUUGGUUCACUGGAAAGUUCUUAAAACCUAAAAAUAAAAAUGUUAAUAUUAGUUCCCCUAAAUGCUCAGGCUAUAAGUGACAUAUUAACGAUGUGCUAUUAUUUUAGCAUGCACACUGGUGCAGUGCUACGAUCAGAAACCACAAUGCCAUAAGCGCGGUAAGUUUCAUCUUUCGUGAGUUACCAGACUCAACAAGCUGUUUUCCUGGAAACAUAUCGUUUCAUUAACCACAAAUGACAAAUUGAUAGGCAACACCUGAAAAAUGCUGCCCUGCAGUAUAAAGCAAUCUAAUGCUGCAGGCAUGAAAUCUAGUCAUUAGAGAAAAAGAAUUCCUGUAUUGUAUGAAUUCCGUACAUCCUUUACAUUUUGCAGCAGUACUUAUCUGAACAUUUUCUAUAUCACUGCCUAUGAUAACUUCUACACAGAUUCCAGAGCUUAUUGCAAUUAUUACAUUAUACAGCAGAAAGAAUUGAGUAUUUUAGCCAUGACAAUUAUAUUUCCAUUUUAUUUUUCUCACUUUCUAAGUCUUUAUUUCCCGGUUCUCCCUUUCCACUCCUUGCCUUUGUUCUUCUACUCCUUCAAAGGAAAUAUAUUUCUUUUAUAAUCACAUAACAGUAAAACAAUAUCACAGUGUUUGUUGGACAUAGAAUGCUUAAGAAGAUACCAUUAUGAUAUCAUUAUGAGCCUAACUGUAUGUACUGAUUUAAUUUCUUUACCGAGUUAAAGCGGAUCUAUCACUCCACUAUUUCAUAAAGAUAUAUUCAUUAAAAUUCCAACGCAAUCCACACAUACCAUAAGACAAAAUAUGGACUACUUUGUCUUGUGGUAAAACCUGAGGCUGACAAAAGGCAAAGCUCCAUUUCCAACUUCUGUCCAAUCCCUGCAGCCAUCACAAAUGAUGGCUGUGGGAUUUAGGCUCUGUCUAUGAAGGAUCUCGUGGUCUUACAUAAUCCUCCAUAAACCUCAAGGUUGUACUCUUAUGCAUGAGCAAGUGUAUAACACGGACAUGACUCCUGGCAACUGAAGUGCCAGGAUCUGAAGAGGAAAGCAGGAUGAAGAGUGCAGCCGCCAGGGAUAGUCUGUGAUAAAUAAAAUAGAAACAUAGAAUGUGGAGGCAGAUAAGAACCAUUUGGCCCAUGUAGUCUGCCCAAUUUUCUAAAUACUUUCAUUAGUCCCUGACCUUAUCUUAUAGUUGGGAUAAGAUAAACUACCUCCCCUGUUUCUCACGGCCACCAGACUCACAUUGAUCUGGCAGCUUUGGGGAAAUUGGCAACCAAUGCAAAGAUCCCUGAAAAUGACAGGUCCAGUUUAACUGUGGAUCACGACUCCAAUGUAUAGCACUUAGUGAUAUUAAUAAGUAUGAUAACUGACUGCUCAGUCCAUUCAAAGGAUCUGUCAUUCACAAUCUAGUUUAUUUGAGAUUAGUUUAUGUAUCAGUUCAACUAACUAAGGCAGCCAUUGGUUGACAUAAGCUGUAAUUUUACAGCAAAAUCUUGUGAUCCCUUAACUGGUAUAGGGAUGUAGAAGUUUAGUCACUCACGUUCCUGGAACCAUGUAGCUAUGAGGGGUUUUCAUAGACAGGAACACAAACUCAUUAGCUGUUCCAAGUUGAGCUCCUCGGUUACCAUAUUUGUGGGAUAGUUGUUGUUUCUAAAUUUGUUUAACUAAGGUUUGAAAGUGCUGUCCAACAGUCUGUAGAAUCCAUGUGCUCCCAGUGUGAAAUCAAUUACAGGAGUUCUGCCUAAAAAAAUUAGAAUUUAUGUUUCCUGCAAAAAACGUGCAAAUUGACAACCCCAUUACCUUCAUGCUCUAAUGGAACCUGUCCAUAAUCGUUCUAGUGCUUCUGGAGAUUAAUUUUCAAAUGGGCUUCAACCCACCAUGACAUAUAGUAGUGAAUGUAAUAAAUAGAUUAACAAUUUAAUAUGGAAGUAAAAAACAUUCUCACUGUAACCUGCUCUUGUUGUGUAUACACAGAUCCCUGCGACCCAUGCCCACCCGACCCUUGCAAGACCCAGUCUGGAUACAGAAAGUGACGCUUCGUAUCGAAUGGAAGCAUCUCAUCAGAAGAACAAUACUUUCCUGUAACGGCUUUGCAUUUUAAGAAAUAUUCACUAUUUGUCAAUGUGUCCAAAACCUACCCAAUCCCUGGCAAUGCAUGUAAUCAUAUCUCAUUCUUCUGAAAUUCUUCAUUAAACUUGCUGAAUACCA